This 501-nucleotide long non-coding RNA is filed under the name Helianthus annuus (common sunflower). Its description in RNAcentral is "hypothetical non coding rna". Lineage: Eukaryota; Viridiplantae; Streptophyta; Magnoliopsida; Asterales; Asteraceae. The record is from RNAcentral.
ACAAGGACAUCAUCUUGAUCAUGCAGCUCUCGAGAGAUAACCUCACCCUCUAGACCUCUGAUUCGCAGAGCCAAUAAACAUAUUUCAUGGGAGCCGCCCCUGAAUCGCUUACAGUGAUUUGCCCGGUUGAUGAAAAAUCCCAGAUGUACCACUUCUAAGGCCCUGGACUUUUACUAUGCUUUGGGCACCCAAACUGGUUGAGCCGCCCCUGAAUCGUUUAUAGGCUGUAAUGAAGGUUCUACCAGAACUAAAUGGAAAACUGACAGGUGUGGCCUUUAACUUGUCAACUUGAGAAGAAGGCUUCUUAUGAAAAUGUUAAAGCUGCAGUCAAGUAUGCACUAUAAAACGGGUCGGUUUCAAGCAACAUAUGAUAUCAAUGACAUAAACAAAGGAGCUGUGCUGAUAUUUAUUUAGCGAUGAAGCUUAAAAUUAGACAAUGUAUGCAUUAAAAGCACCAUGACACAGAUCUGUGUACUUUAUAAUAUAUAUUUGCAUAACUUG